RNAcentral lists this ribosomal RNA (369 nucleotides) under Triticum aestivum (bread wheat). Its description in RNAcentral is "partial small subunit ribosomal RNA". Lineage: Eukaryota; Viridiplantae; Streptophyta; Magnoliopsida; Poales; Poaceae. The record is from RNAcentral.
AUGUGGUGUUUUCUUCAAUAUGCAACUCCGUUGCAUAUUGAGCUCCACUUAAUUUGUAGUGUUGUUUGUUGCACUUUUCCAUGUCAUGCUUCAUUAAACCGGACAUGCAUCAUACUUGAUUGUGCAUCAUGCCAUGAUUAUGUGAUGGUUGUUUACUAUGUUGUUUGCUUUCUUUCCGGUGUACUUCUUCUCGGUAAUCCGGUAACGUCGUGUUGUGAGGAUUCGUUCGACUACGUCCGUUUGUCUUCUUCAUGGACUCGUUCUUCUUCCUUGCGGGAUUUCAGGUGCCGAGGAUACCGUGCAGAUGAUGCAACCAAGCUCAAGGAGGAGCUCGAUGAAGAUCUUGUCCUUUGUCUUGUUUCGAUCUAG